This 345-nucleotide unclassified non-coding RNA is filed under the name soil metagenome. RNAcentral describes it as "partial contains 5.8S ribosomal RNA, internal transcribed spacer 2, and large subunit ribosomal RNA". The stretch from base 1 to 120 matches the Rfam family "5.8S ribosomal RNA", at positions 35 to 154 of the family's 154-position model. The record is from RNAcentral.
GAUGAAGAACGUAGCGAAAUGCGAUACGUAAUGUGAAUUGCAGAAUUCAGUGAAUCAUCGAGUCUUUGAACGCACAUUGCGCCAUCUGGUAUUCCGGAGGGCAUGCCUGUCCGAGCGUCAUUGCUGCCCUCAAGCACGGCUUGUGUGUUGGGCCCCGCCCCCCGAUCCCGGGGGGCGGGCCCGAAAGGCAGCGGCGGCACCGCGUCCGGUCCUCGAGCGUAUGGGGCUUUGUCACCCGCUCUGUAGGCCCGGCCGGCGCUUGCCGAUCAACCAAACUUUUUUCCAGGUUGACCUCGGAUCAGGUAGGGAUACCCGCUGAACUUAAGCAUAUCAAUAAGCGGAGGA